This is a non-coding RNA of Acanthosepion pharaonis, 97 nucleotides long. NCBI's taxonomy places the organism in Eukaryota, Metazoa, Mollusca, Cephalopoda, Sepiida, Sepiidae. The record is from the annotation of a GenBank genome assembly.
ACCAGUUCCGAUCAGCUUACGAUCAGCGAAGUUAAGCAACGUCGAAACUGGUCAGUACCAAGAUGGGUGACCGCUUGGGAAUACCAGGUGUUGUAAG